RNAcentral lists this non-coding RNA (31 nucleotides) under Callithrix jacchus (white-tufted-ear marmoset). RNAcentral also lists the same sequence under 1 other name. Lineage: Eukaryota; Metazoa; Chordata; Mammalia; Primates; Cebidae. The record is from RNAcentral.
UGUAACGAAUGUGGGAAAGCCUUUGGCUACU